CCAGACUCCUACGGGAGGCAGCAGUGGGGAAUAUUGCACAAUGGGGGAAACCCUGAUGCAGCAACGCCGCGUGAGUGAAGAAGUAUUUCGGUAUGUAAAGCUCUAUCAGCAGGGAAGAAAAUGACAGUACCUGACUAAGAAGCCCCGGCUAACUACGUGCCAGCAGCCGCGGUAAUACGUAGGGGGCAAGCGUUAUCCGGAUUUACUGGGUGUAAAGGGAGCGUAGACGGCUGCGCAAGUCAGAAGUGAAAGCCCGGGGCUCAACCGCGGGACUGCUUUUGAAACUGUGUAGCUAGAGUGCAGGAGAGGUAAGUGGAAUUCCUAGUGUAGCGGUGAAAUGCGUAGAUAUCAGGAGGAACACCGGCGGCGAAGGCGGCCUGCUGGACCGUGACUGACGUUGAGGCUCGAGAGCGUGGGGAGCAAACAGGAUUAGAUACCCCAGUA
This 444-nucleotide ribosomal RNA is filed under the name uncultured bacterium. Its description in RNAcentral is "bacterial SSU rRNA". It matches the Rfam family "Bacterial small subunit ribosomal RNA", at positions 331 to 792 of the family's 1533-position model. The record is from RNAcentral.